Molecule: long non-coding RNA, 8024 nt
Filed under: Citrus x clementina
Lineage: Eukaryota; Viridiplantae; Streptophyta; Magnoliopsida; Sapindales; Rutaceae
Description: Citrus clementina (C. clementina) long non-coding RNA (CCLE_LNC006504)
Source: RNAcentral
AUGAUGGUUGUCGAAGCCAACAAAAAUAAAUUCCUACUCUAAAUAAAUUGUGUAUAGUGAUUGAGCAGGGUUGUGUCCACAGAGAUCGGUAAUUAUUUAAAUCCUUUUAAAAUGUAAAACAUAAAAUGGGGGGUUUUGUUGACAAUAAUAAAAAUCAAAUUAAAAUAACAAGAAUGUAAAUUAAAGUUGUAAUUCAAAUUGGAGAAAGCUCUAGUUGAAGGAAUUAACUCAGCUUGAUUCGACUACUGAUCAUUGAUUCAAAUAUAGAUUAUUAUUACUUAUGAAUAGACCGGUUAUAGCUAUUGAGACUCUCUAAUAGCCAAUCUCUCUUUAACUAGUCGAUAACCAAGGUACGACCGUUGGAUAUUUCCCUAAUCAAUAGACAACCCUAGAUACGAUCACAGGAUUUAAUCAAUUGACAGCCUGAAAAACUAGAGAGACCCAAAUCCUAAUCAACACAUAUGAUGAUUCAUUUAAAUUAGAUUGUUUAUUCUCAUAACACAACUCACUGCUAUGUUAUUUGUCACAAACAUUAAAAUCUUCAUACGAUGAAUCCUUUAAUUGACAAUAGAUUAAGUUGAUAAUUAAAUAGUGGCCAAUUACCUAAUUAACAAACAUAAUCAUGAAACUAAUUCAGAGAAUAAACAAAUACCCAAAAAGUAAUAAAACAAUUAAAGCAUAAGAAAGAUCUCACAGUAGUGAUGAAUCAAAGCUUCAUUAACCUUCAACCAGAAAAAUAAGUUUAGUUCUUCAUAGAGAGAAGAGAAAAAUUAGAUCUAGGGUUUCUUUCUUUUUCUCCAAUCAAAAUCCCCUUUUUCACAAUAGAUUCCUGUUAGAGUGCAAUUUAUGCACUAGUUUUGCAUUGUUUACUUCCCUUAAUAUCGAUGUUUUGCAUUUAAUAAUAGUGAUUUACCUGUGAUUUACUUUUGUAGGUGCAAUUCUAUUGAUUGGUGAUAAAAUUGAGCUACAAGAUGAUGUUUAGGGAUGAUUGUUCCCUUGGAGAAAUUAUGAGCGGCAGAAGAACUUUGUUGAUAAGGCGUGGGCGCGUGCUGUCAAUUGCGGACCUGCAGUUUUUAGUUUAACGUGUUUUAUAUUUUUGGCUAUUUUUGUAAUUACGAAUUUAAUAUUUUAGAUAUUAGUAUUUUAUUUUAAAUAGAACUCUAAAAGAGAAGAGAGAGAGAGUAUUUAAGGGAGGAAUCAAUUGUGAAAAAAAGGGGGGAUUUUGGAUUGGAGAAAAAGAAACCCUAGAUCUAAUUUUUCUCUUCUCUCUAUGAGGAACUAAACCCAUUUUUCUGGUUGAAGGUUAAUGAAGCUUUGAUUCAUCACUACUAUGAGAUCUUUCUUGUGCUUUAAUUGUUUUAUUGCUUUUUGGGUAUUUGUUUAUUCUCUGAAUUAGUUUCAUGAUUAUGUUUGUUAAUUAGGUAAUUGGCCACUAUUUAAUUAUCAACUUAAUCUAUUGUCAAUUAAAGGAUUCAUCGUAUGAAGAAUUUAAUGCUUGUGACAAAUAACAUAGCAGAGAGUUGUGUUGUGAGAAUAAACAAUCUAAUUUAAAUGAAUCAUCAUAUGUGUUGAUUAGGAUUUGGGUCUCUCUGGUUUUUCAGGCUGUCAAUUGAUUAAAUUCUAUGAUCGUAUCUAGGGUUGUCUAUUGAUUAGGGAAAUAACCAACGGUCGUACCUUGGUUAUCGACUAGUUAAGGAGAGAUUGGCUAUUAGAGGGUCUCAGUAGCUAUAACCGGUCUAUCCAUGAGUAAUAAUAAUCUAUAUUUGAAUCAAUGAUCAGUAGUCGAAUCAAGCUGAGUUAAUUCCUUCAACCAGAGCUUUCUCUAAUUUGAAUUACAACUUUAAUUUGCAUUCUUAUUAUUUUAAUUUGAUUUUUAUUAUUGUCAACAAUUCCCCUAUUUUACGUUUUACGUUUCAAAAGGAUUUAAUUAAUUACCAAUCUCUGUGGACACGACCCUGCUCAAUCACUAUACACAAUUUAUUUAGAGUAGGAAUUUAUUUUUGUUGGCUUCGACACCCAUCAAAUUUUGGCGCCGUUGCCGGGGAUUGGUGUCAUUUAUUUAAUCCUUUUUACGUUUUACUUGGUGUAUGGUUCGUUCUUCUCGUACAGGUACACUUUCGUUUGAUCCUGAAAUUGAGAAGACAGCUCGCCAGCUGAGACAACAGACAAAGCGAGCUAAGCAACGAUCCUCGUCGCCUUUGCUUUCUAAAACAGAUACGGUGCCUGAUUUAGUUGAAUCAUCUAGCGAUUCAGAAGAACAAGUGAUGGAUAGACCUGCACCUGUAGAAAGAACUCUUAGAGAGUUAGCUGAACCAGACUUGAAUCAACAACCACUCUGCAUUCAAUAUGUAGACUUGGAGGUAAAUUUUGAAUUAAAGUCUGGUCUUAUUCACUUAUUACCCAAGUUUCAUGGUUUUGCAGGUGAAGAUCCUCAUAAACAUCUCAAGGAGUUUCAUGUUGUGUGCUCAAGUAUGAGGCCACAAGGUGUGACUGAAGAGCAGAUUAAGCUGCGUGCUUUUCCGUUCUCUGUAGAUGGGCUAGCUAAAGAUUGGUUGUACUACUUGCCUCCUGGAUCGAUUACAACGUGGAAUGGUUUGAAGAAGCAGUUCCUCGAGAAGUACUUUCCUGCUUCAAGAGCUGCCAACAUCAGAAAAGAUAUUUGUGGGAUCAGACAACUUCCUGGGGAGACUUUGUAUGAGUAUUGGGAGCGAUUCAAACAAUUGUGUGCCAGUUGUCCUCAGCAUCAGAUUUCUGAUCAACUUCUUAUUCAAUAUUUUUACGAAGGACUAUCAUUGAUGGAUAGGAGUAUGAUAGAUGCUGCUAGUGGAGGUGUGUUGGUGAACAAGACUCCUACUCAAGCAAGGGAGUUGAUAUCAAAUAUGGCUGCCAAUGCACAACAAUUUGGCAGCAGACAAGAUGCCACCUUAAGGAAUGUGAAUGAGGUAAAUAAUUCUUCUGUUGAACAACGUUUAGAUAAACUCACUUCUCUUGUGGAAAAGUUUGUUGUAGGUAAUGUGCAACAGGUGAAGACUUGUGGUAUUUGUUACAAUAUGGGUCAUUCAACUGAUAUGUGUCCUACACUUCAAGAAGAACCCGUUGAACAAACCAAUGCAGUUGGAGGAUUUUCAGGCAUGCCUCAGAGGAGGUAUGAUCCUUAUGCACAAACAUACAAUCCGGGAUGGAAGGAUCAUCCGAACUUCAGCUAUGGCGUUAGGCCGUCAGGAUUCCCACAACAGUAUCCACCAAGACAACCAACACCUCCACAGUCAAACUCCAAGUCAGGUAUAUCUCUUGAAGAAAUUCUUAAAUCACUUGCGACUAACACUCAACAAUUUCAGUAGGUAACUACAACAAGCAUUCAGAACUUGGAGAACCAAAUGAGUCAAUUGGCGACUACAGUAAGCCGUCUGGAGUCUCAAGUAUUAGGAAGAUUGCCUUCACAAUCUGAGGUGAAUCCAAAGCAAAACGUUAGUGCUGUCAUCCUUAGAAGUGGGAAGGAGUUGCAAGAGCCUAGUAAGAAAGUGACAAAGCAUGUAGAAGAUGAGCUUGAGAAGAAUGAAUUGAUACCUAAAUCUCAAGAUGCACAACCCACCAGAGCGAAACCCCUACCUAUUGUGAUACCUCCUCCUUUUCCAAGCCGAUUUGCAAAAUCCAAGAAGGAGGAACAAGAGAAAGACAUCCUUGAGACAUUUCGCAAGGUUGAGGUAAAUAUUCCUUUAUUAGAUGCUAUAAAACAAAUACCUCGAUAUGCUAAAGUCCUUAAGGAACUGUGCACCUCCAAAAGAAAAUUAAGAGGAGAUGAAAAAGUUCACAUGGGGGAGAAUGUUUCAGCAGUUCUUCAAAAGAAACUACCUCCUAAGUGCAAGGAUCCAGGUAUGUUUACUAUCCCUUGUAAAAUUGGUAGUGUUAGAGUUGAAAAGGCUUUGUUAGAUCUAGGAGCUUCUAUUAAUGUCAUGCCUCGUUCCAUUUAUUCAUCUUUGAAUAUUGGUCCAUUAAAAGAAACUGGUGUGAUAAUUCAACUAGCUGAUAGGUCUAAUGCAUAUCCUGAUGGGGUAUUAGAAGAUGUCUUAGUACAAGUUAAUGAGUUGGUUUUUCCUGCUGAUUUUUAUGUACUUGAUAUGGAAGAUGAUAACUCCUCUAAUUCUAUCCCAAUUUUGCUAGGAAGACCUUUUCUUAAGACUGCUAGGACUAAAAUGGAUAUACAUAAAGGGACUUUCACUAUGGAGUUUGAUGGAGAGGUUAUAGAAUUCAAUAUGAAUGAUGCCAUGAAAUAUCCAGUGAGGAACAUUCGGUAUUUUCUGUGGAUGUUAUUAACCCUAUAGCGCAGGAAAUUUUUUACAAGGAAAAGACGAAGACAUUUCAUGAUAGAAUGAUUUUGAGAAAGGAGUUCUCUGUUGGUCAAAAAGUUCUUCUUUUUCAUUCUAAGCUUAAAUUUUUUCCGGGUAAAUUACGUUCUUGUUGGGUUGGACCUUUUAUUGUUACUAAUGUUUUUCCUUAUGGUGCAGUUGAGAUUCGGAGCCCGACCUCUGACAAAGUUUUUAAGGUUAAUGGUCAUCGCUUAAAACCUUUUUAUGAAGGUUUUUCGGUGAAUAUUGUGGAGGAUGUGGCUCUCGAGAGUCCCAAUUAUGGAGAUUGAUGCAUAAAUGUGUCUAGCCAAAGACAUAAAACAAAGGAGGCAACCUAAAUGAUUUGUUUGUUUUGGUUUUUGUUAUAUCUUCUUUUAAUUUUGAUUCAAAAAAAAAAGAGAAAAAAAAGAAAAAAAAGAAAAAUUUUGCUUAUUUUGGUCAGAAGAAAAUUUUUGAUAAGGCGUGCCCACGUCUUAGCUAAUAAGUACUUCUGUAAUUUUUAAAGUAACAUAGUUUUAAGGCGUGCCCACGUACUUAAUAGAAAAGUACUUCUGAAAUUUAAUGUGUUUGCUUAUUUUGGUCAGAAGAAAAUUUUUUAUAAGGCGUGCCCAUGUACUUAUUAGAAAAGUACUUCUGAAAUUUUUAGUGUCUCAAAGUGAUUCAUCACUAAAAAAACAAAAAAAAAGAGUUUUUUUUCCUUAUUUUCUUUUCUUAUAUAUAUAUUUUUUAUUUAUUUAUAAAAAAACGAAAAAAAGAAGAAGUUUUUUUUCCUUCUUUUCUUUCUUAUAUAUAUAUAUAUAUUUUUUUCUUUAUUUAUUUAAAAAAAACACAAAAAAAAACACAAAAAUCACAAAUCACUGUUCACAAAUCCCUAAUUCAAAAAAAAUUCACUGUUGAUUAUCGUUUUCCCGCAGCAACCCUCAGCUCCAGCGCGCAGAACCAACAGCAGCCGCAUCAGUCCCACCUGCAACGCAACCAGCCCGGGCGCAGAAAGCUCCAACCAUUACCAUCGCGCAGCGCAUCAUUCUCGCGCGCGCAACGCAGCCGAGCAGUAGCAGACGAGCAUGCCCCGCAACGCAGAUCCUCAGCUCCAGCUCGCGCGCGCAGCGCAAAUCAAUCCAGUCGUCACCAUCGCGCAGCGCAUCAGUCCCGCGUGUGCAACGCAACCAUUAGUACCAGCAUCCCGCGUCCAACAAGCAGCAACCCGCGCACGCAGAUCCAGCCUUCGCCCAGCAGCGCGCAAAACCAGCGUCAGCCCAGCUCUCGCGCGCAACACAACCCACGCAACGCGCAGAUCCAGCAGCCCCAGCGCGCGCGCGUAACACAAUCAGCUCCAUCCCGCGUCCAUCAAGCAAGCUCCAGCCGAGCAGCAAUCGCAACGCAACCAUAGACGUUAUGUGGAUCAAAGCUCACAAUUCAGGGAAGUUUUUUUUUGCCUUUAAUCUUUUAUCCUUACGCUUUAAAUUUUAUGUGAGCUUUGAUUAUUUUACAUUGGGGACAAUGUAAGUUCUUGGUGUGGGGGAGGGAUUUUUGCAUUAUUGAUGUCUGGAAUUAUUGUUUUCACUCUACUUAUCUUUUUUUCACUUUACUCAUCCUUAAAUGAUUUUGGAGUUAGUAUGCUUUAUAUAUUAUUAAUUUUCUUUUCCUUUAUCUCUCACUACUCUUUAUGCUUUAUAUAUUAUUAAUUUUCUUUUCCUUUAUCUCUCACUACUCUUUUCCCAUCUAUCUCACAUUAUUUACAUCUAUUUUUUUUUUCUAUCAUACUUUUUCAUCACUCACAUUUUAUCUUUCAAUUUUCUUUUUACUACAUACAUCUUUCUCGCUUAUUAUCCUUUUUACCUUUCCUUUUAUUUCUCACUCAUACCUUCUUCUCAUUCUACACCACUAUUGAUGGUUGAUUCAUUUGAAGAGUGUACAUGAUUUGAUGGCAAAUUUACCAACUUUGUGAGGAUUUGAGCCUAUGAGCAACCACUUUGCUAUAAUUAUUUUUGUUAUGUGAAUAUCAAUCCUAGUUUGUUUAUUAUAGAACUUGCUUUGUUAUGCAUGUUGAAGCCACAUUACGGGAUUUUAUGCAUUAAAAUGAUAAGGGCAAACCAUUUACCAUUUUUCUAUUCUUGCAUUUUCCUUUUUCUCUACCCGAAAACCUUUAAUUGCUACCUUUGUUUGAGCCUUAACCAUUACCCAUCUAAUUCUCUCCAUCUACUUAACCAUUUUUCUUCUUUUUGAGCCUCAAUUUAAGGAGAUUUUUGGACUCAUUGUGUGGAUAUAUUUUGUUGCUUUUUCUACCUUGUAAUAAAGUUUCUCAAUUAGAUCAACAAGCAUUAUGCUUGAAUUAAAUUGUGCAAGGUUCGUUUCUUUUGUUUGAUUCAAAAAAAAAAUAAAAAAAAGAAAAAAAAACAACAAAAAAAAAAGAAAAAAAAAAUUUGAAAAAAAAAAUCGAAAAAAAAAAGUUUACAUUCUUGGUGACUUGAGUAGAAAUAAGCAUUUUGAUAUCAUAAGUUCAUUCAAUGAGUUCAUUCUUCUCGUUUUGAUCUCUUUUUCUUUCAUAAACCUUUCUUUUUCAUUUCUCCAAUUUAACCCCAUUACAACCCUUUUAAGACCCUUAGAUUUUUGCAUUUUAUUCAUGUUUUGUGGAUUGAGAUGUGAUAUAUGGGCAAGCUUAUGGUAAUAGCAUUCUUUGAUUUGAUUUGAGUGGAUAAAUGACACCCUAAACACUUUGAGUGCAUGGAGUGAAGUUAUUGAGAGGGCUAUUAAAUCUUGCUGCACUUGAGUUUUGAAUGGAUCUUCUUGGUGGUUGAAUGUUCUUAUUCUAUCUUACGAAAUUCUAUGCUUUAAAAUCCUUGUCUCUCGAACGUUGAACGACUUAAUUUCUUGAGGUAUGCUUGCUUAAAAUUGUUUUUGGAUGAGUUGAGAUGAGAAUUGAGUGGAAAUUUGAGAUUAAUCUUGAGUUAUAUGCUUGAGGACAAGCAUCAUCUUGGUGUGGGGGAAUUUGUUAGAGUGCAAUUUAUGCACUAGUUUUGCAUUGUUUACUUCCCUUAAUAUCGAUGUUUUGCAUUUAAUAAUAGUGAUUUACCUGUGAUUUACUUUUGUAGGUGCAAUUCUAUUGAUUGGUGAUAAAAUUGAGCUACAAGAUGAUGUUUAGGGAUGAUUGUUCCCUUGGAGAAAUUAUGAGCGGCAGAAGAACUUUGUUGAUAAGGCGUGGGUGCGUGCUGUCAAUUACGGACUUGCAGUUUUUAGUUUAACGUGUUUUAUAUUUUUGGCUAUUUUUGUAAUUACGAAUUUAAUAUUUUAGAUAUUAGUAUUUUAUUUUAAAUAGAACUCUAAAAGAGAAGAGAGAGAGAGUAUUUAAGGGAGGAAUCAAUUGUGAAAAAAAGGGGGGAUUUUGGAUUGGAGAAAAAGAAACCCUAGAUCUAAUUUUUCUCUUCUCUCUAUGAGGAACUAAACCCAUUUUUUUGGUUGAAGGUUAAUGAAGCUUUGAUUCAUCACUACUGUGAGAUCUUUCUUGUGCUUUAAUUGUUUUAUUGCUUUUUGGGUAUUUGUUUAUUCUCUGAAUUAGUUUCAUGAUUAUGUUUGUUAAUUAGGUAAUUGGCCACUAUUUAAUUAUCAACUUAAUCUAUUGUCAAUUAAAGGAUUCAUCGUAUGAAGAAUUUAAUGCUUGUGACAAAUAACAUAGCAGAG